GCAGUCGAGGGGUAGAGGAAGCUUGCUUCCUUGAGACCGGCGCACGGGUGCGUAACGCGUAUGCAAUCUACCUUGUACAGGGGGAUAGCCCAGAGAAAUUUGGAUUAAUACCCCAUAGUGUAAUUGAAUGGCAUCAUUUAAUUACUAAAGUUCCAACGGUACAAGAUGAGCAUGCGUCCUAUUAGCUAGUUGGUAUGGUAACGGCAUACCAAGGCUACGAUAGGUAGGGGUCCUGAGAGGGAGAUCCCCCACACUGGUACUGAGACACGGACCAGACUCCUACGGGAGGCAGCAGUGAGGAAUAUUGGACAAUGGGCGCAAGCCUGAUCCAGCCAUGCCGCGUGCAGGAAGAAGCAUCUAUGGUGUGUAAACUGCUUUUGUACGGGAAGAAACACUCCGACGUGUCGGAGCUUGACGGUACCGUAAGAAUAAGGAUCGGCUAACUCCGUGCCAGCAGCCGCGGUAAUACGGAGGAUCCAAGCGUUAUCCGGAAUCAUUGGGUUUAAAGGGUCCGUAGGCGGUUUAAUAAGUCAGUGGUGAAAGCCCAUCGCUUAACGAUGGAACGGCCAUUGAUACUGUUAGACUUGAAUUAUUGGGAAGUAACUAGAAUAUGUAGUGUAGCGGUGAAAUGCUUAGAUAUUACAUGGAAUACCAAUUGCGAAGGCAGGUUACUACCAAUACAUUGACGCUGAUGGACGAAAGCGUGGGGAGCGAACAGGAUUAGAUACCCUGGUAGUCCACGCCGUAAACGAUGGAUACUAGCUGUUCGGAGCAAUCUGAGUGGCUAAGCGAAAGUGAUAAGUAUCCCACCUGGGGAGUACGUUCGCAAGAAUGAAAC
Molecule: ribosomal RNA, 838 nt
Filed under: uncultured bacterium
Lineage: Bacteria
Description: bacterial SSU rRNA
Rfam family: Bacterial small subunit ribosomal RNA
Source: RNAcentral